UGUAAACAGUCAAGUUUAGCAAGAUAUUUGUUUAUAUAUUGUAACUGCAGAUUAGUCCACUAGCAGAUCUGUAAGGAAAGCCUGUAAAUGUUACUAAAAAUUUGAUAUUUAAUAAAUAAACACAUCUGAUAUAAAGUUCUACGUGUUGCUGAUGAUUUCAAUGAUAGCUUAUGUACCAGGCCACUUUUCCUAUGCAACAUAAGGGUGUGACACUGUAAUGACAAAAUGGCUUUGUUACAAAAGUAUGCCUAAAUAUGUCUAAAGUAUUUGAGAAAACACACCGAACAGACCUAUGUUCCGGGUUUUGACUUGUACAAUGUGUGGUUACCAUCAUUAGUCUGAAUAGGUAAGGUACGUCAACAAUGCAUUUCGCUGAAACCACCACUGAAGUCUCAGUCAACAUCAUGGCAGCAUUAGGACUCCUAUGGCUUGUGAGCUGUGAGUAUUUUCUACUUUUCAAAUAAUACAAACAUUUUCAAAUAAAUAUUUAUGUUAAUUUCCUGAACAAAAUACUUUCCCUGAGUGUAUUCAUUUGUCCAUGCAGCCAUAGCAUCUAUCCUUGUCAAAUGUGAAGAUGCAACAUCUGAACACAAAAAGAUCUACCCAGCAAAGAUAUUUGGACCAUCUAGCGUGACUGAAGGGGUAAACAUCCAUUUUAAAUGUAGCACUACUGGCAUCAGAGGACCUGAGGACAAGUUCAAUUUUUACCUUUGCAAGAAUGGAGUUGGGAUAAGAAUUGCGCUGCUGGAGGAAGGUGAAGAUGAUGCUAUUUUCGACAUGAAGAAUGUCACACGAGAAGACUCAGGCAACUACAGCUGUGUGUACACCAGAGAUAAACUUGUACCCAGUCACUUGAGGUCAACAGGGGAUAAUUUAGUAGUCUUUCAGGUUAAUGGAGAACAGAAAGGUAAGAUUCUGUCAAUAUUAUGUUUGUAAUGAUAAGAUUGCUAUGCAUACAGUAUAUUUGUCAAUUUGUUGCAGUGCUGUUUGAAUAUUUGUAAUUCAGUCACAUUUUCAGCCAAUAUAUUGCUUUGCAAUGAAAGGCUACAUACUCUGACUGAGCAACAAGUUUAACACCAGCGUGUACUGUACACCAGAAUCUAUUAUAUCAAUGUUCUUCACAGAGGGACUAAAGAAUAUGGGAGGACAAGGGAGAGCGGGACUGGCAGCAGCCUUGGUCCUCCUGUUUCUGACGCUGUCUGUACUGCUGUUAGUGUGGAGGUACUGGGGAAUCCUGAAACAAAGUAAGUGAAGUUGACAGUCUGUUCAGUUUAGGCCAGGAAUCCAUUCUUAACACAGUGCGCUGGACAGCCGACAAUUCAGCUUUAAAAGGCACUUUCACCGCCGUUUACGGAGAUCUCAUUCACAAAACACUGCAGAUUGACCUCUCAAUCGGAAAUUCCCUUUAAAUGUCAACCAAGCAAUGUGGAAUUUGUCAUUUUGAUAAACUAAUCUGUAAAGAGUCAAGUUUAGCAAGAUAUUUGUUUAUGUAUUUUAACUGUAGAUUAGUCCGCUAGCAGUUCGCAUUCACAAAACACUGCAGAUGACGGCUCAAUCGGAAAUCCCCUUUAAAUAUCAAGCAAGCUAUAACGCAGAUCCAACGUGGAUAUUUGAAUCCCGGCCUUACAAUCACCAUGUCUAGCUAUGUGACAUGGUGGGGAAAGUGAACAAAUGCUUGAUGUUAAGUGUCGAUGUAUUUUAACACAAUGCUUUAAGUCAUUCCUUACUGUUGCUUUCUGUUACAGUGAUAAGCAUUGACCAUCAACCAAGGUAUAGAAAACCUACCAAAUUAAAACAAAAUACUACUUGAUUUAUCAAUGUCCACAUUGUUGAGACAGGGCAACAAAUAUCUGUAUUCUUCCCUCAGUGAGAAUCAGGAUACGGAUCAAACAUACAGUCUACUCUCAGUUGUACCAGGUAUUGUAUAUCAGUUCAUAUUUUUACAUUGCAUAUUUUGCAUCACAUAUUGUUCCUUUCCUUCAUUUCUUUAAGAACUAAGUCAUAAUGUAUGUUUUCUGUCUUUGAUUUCCAUAUCCUGGAUGUUUUAGUCGCAGCUGGUGUAAUGUAAGUUUCUCUUCAGCACCAUUUUCUUUUUUUAAUGGGCAAUUUUGCUAUUUCACCAUACUAUUGAGAUGACACCGUUUUCAUAAAAGUGUCAAAAGCCCGGGUUAGUUUUCCCUAUUUUGGUAAAGAAAAUCUCAGAUAUGCAGUAUCUUUGAUGAAACAAUGAAGUUACCAUAUAGGUUUAGUAUGUAUUUUUAAAGAGUAGUUUUCAUACAAUAACCCUUUUCAUAGUCUAAGAUGAUAUCCCUUUUCCAUGACUUCUGUAAGUUGUUUACAAUGGUGUCAAUGUCUUGUCUGUAGUGAGGUCCCCUUUGAUGGUGAGGAAGGACACUAUUCUAUGAUAGGUGAGUGGAGAGGUACAGUUUGUCUAAUCAUGACAUUAUUAAUAAUACCCUAGCUGAGAAAACACUUUGUUUAUGAUAUACUGUAUCUGACUAUUAAGAAAGACAUUCUAAUACAGGGCUGGAAUCGUCAGGGAGACUACGGUAAGACAUUUUAGUAACUACCACAUUAUUUCUAAAGAUAUGACACAAAUAAUAAUAUUUCAUUUGUAAAGUGCAUUUCCCACACUCAAGAUGCACAAAUGAUCAAUGAUAUAUGCCAAAUGAUCAAUGAUAUAUGUAAUAUUUCCCUUACACAGAAAGAAUCCUGAGCCCUUGGGUUUACAAGGUGUGUCAGGUAUGUAUGCAAUCUCAUAGUUGUUCCUCUCUUUUCUGGAGUCCCUUAGACUUUACAGUACAUACAACUGAUCUCAGUUUUAUUCCCAGCAGGCAUGGGAUCGGUGGUUCAUCAGUAAGUCUGAAUCCUGCUCUUACAUUUCCUUCAGUAUCAGGGACAUUAACGAGGUGUAUUGUUGAUAUUUCUCUAAUUACAUAUUUACAUGUCUGAGUUUGAAGUUCAUUUUCUGUUUCUGUAGCUCUCCAACUGAUCCUACAGGAGAUGAGGCUCUGUACAGCGUAAUAACUAGAGGUAGGUACUAAAAAAGAAACCAGUAGAAUAGUAUACGUACAUGUAUAGUAUAUAGUGUAUAUGUACUGUCUGAUGGGUUACAAAGGUAGGUUCACAUCAUACCUAUUUUUGUCUGUUGUCUGUUAUACUGACUUAGAGGCAGCCCUGAGCAUCCCACGUAACCAGAUACUACACAGGUUGAUGAAUGUUUAGCCACAUACACACAGAGACCAACAGGCCUGCAGACAGAGGAAGGCAAUGUGAGCAAAGACUCAUAACACAACUCAAGUCCCUCACCACUCAAACCACAGUGCACUGACGCAGCUAUAUUUAUAGAAAGAUGCACUUAACUGUAGCGAUUUGGUUUUCCACAGACACUUAAUUCUCAGAACACUCAGUUAACUUUCUCUACAUACAGUGUCCAGCAUGUUUGACUAAAUCUAGCAACCUCUCCCCUCAGUGAAAAGACCAGAACAGCAAGGUGAAACUGCCAUCUAUGCCAAAGUGAAAACAAGGAAGGAGAAAGAAAAACAGGAUCCUGUUUACAGUCUGUCAUUACAAAUACAGUAGUGCUAUACAGUAGUAUAUGACAUGUGAAAUGACAUGACAGAACAUGUGGUUUAUCUGCCUUUUUGGUCAUAGAAGUAUGGGGAUAGUAAUACUGUGCACCUAGGUGUAUGCUAAGAUGUGUUUUUUUAAAUACUGCUUUGGUUUUGAACAUAUUACUCUUUGAUGCAGUCUGCAGUCUGGGUGCUAUCUUUGAGCCUAGCAAAGAUGUAGAGGACAUUAUUCCACCUUUUAUUCAAUAAAAACAAACCAAGCUUGAAAUGAACGCAAUAUAAAUUCAAACAAAGUGUUAGCCAAUGUUUUCCACGUGUUUGUUAUGCCAACAUGGAAGUAUGAAUUAAGACACAAAAUGAAUGAUAAGACGAGACCGAGACAUGCAUAGAGAAAGAGACAAAGGAGAAUGUGUGGCAGGCUAAUGUGGUUACAGUGUUUCUAUAGAAAGCUCAGUCUAAUGGGAGAGGGAGACAGAGCUUAGUAAUAGACAAGCCACUAUCAUCAUGUCUCCCAGCAGAGGGGGAGGAGAAGUGGAGAGGAGGGAAAGAGUGGGAGGCUGUCUGCAACAUAUUACCAUUUCUCCACACACACCAUGACCCAGGGGCUAGGCAGAAGAGAUUGAUUUUUUUCCUCCCAGCAUUUUCCAUUUGCUGUCACUCUCACAAGGCAUCGUCAUCAUAGACCCAUGUCACACACCAGAUGGUUUCACUCCUACGUGACGCUCAUCCCUCAACUCAAUAGUGCAGACGGCCGUUCCGCUAUCUGACGUGAGACAAUGCAUAAUAGACAUGAUGGAGUUAUGUGGCUCACAGACAUGCAUACACACACAGACACACACACGAACACAAAAACACAAACAAACACACAUACACACAAAAUAACAUCUCAAAAUCGAAAUAUUCUCAUCCCACAGGUACUCCAGCUACUGUAGUAUCAGGGGAAUGGAUGCUGUAUAUUAGACAAGCUCUCAAUACACACAUACAGAUGCACACUCCUCCACCCCUAUUAACCCUGACAUUAAACCUGAAGCAACAGUCUGAAGCUACCUUAGUUAGACGCAUGGCUGAGGCAGCCUCGCUGCUAGCCACUGUCUGUGGGGAGAGAACGAGAGAGAACAACAGCAGUGUGCUGGAUCUAUGUAGGUAGAGCUGCUGGGGCAGGGCUUGCAGUGUAGACACUUGGCUGUGGAUGGGCUACAGGCUGCAGGGAGUGUGCUGCUGGGGAAGAUAACUGGUAGUGAUUAGUGAUCAGACUCUUCUGGGAGAGAGAGGGGGGCUGGUUUUCCCUGGAGGAGGUUGAGGAGGAGGAAAAGGAGGAGAGAGAGGAGAGAGAGUGCACUACCAUUCAUUUAGAGGCAGCAGCAAGGGACUGAAGCAUCGCCUAUCUGAGCUGAGGGAAUAUGGGGGAAUACUAGAGAGCAGCGCUGCCUGUCUGUCUGUCGAUACUGCCUGGACUCUCACGCUGCAUCUCGGAUAGAUUGUGUGUUGAGUGGAUGAUAGGAAUAGAGGAUGCAGAUCUGAUAUGCACAGUAUGUCUGUUUGUGAUCAUAUGUGUAUUGGUUUGUGUGUGUUCACUACAUCCAAGCAGGUGAGUGUAAUGUGUUGGCAUGUACACUGUUGUGCAUGUGUGUGUA
This 5206-nucleotide long non-coding RNA is filed under the name Oncorhynchus mykiss (rainbow trout). RNAcentral describes it as "lncRNA (ENSOMYG00000045809.2)". The record is from RNAcentral. Lineage: Eukaryota; Metazoa; Chordata; Actinopteri; Salmoniformes; Salmonidae.